This 432-nucleotide unclassified non-coding RNA is filed under the name Hevea brasiliensis (rubber tree). The record is from RNAcentral. Lineage: Eukaryota; Viridiplantae; Streptophyta; Magnoliopsida; Malpighiales; Euphorbiaceae.
GGGAAAGCAUACAAGACGAAAGAGAAGGGAUGAUUAUUCACUUUAUUAUGGGGUGUAAUGGGGUGGGGGAUUUGCUUAAAUCUAACAGAAUCAACUGUUACAUUUCCAGGAGGCUUACUUUCGAAGAUGCUUCAUAUUCAAUGCCUAAUAUCGCCUCCACGCUAGCUCUUUUAUUGCUUCAGGUAGAGCAUGCUCCUUCUGGACACUCUGAACCCAUCUCGAAUUGAUGUGAACACGCUCGAUGCUUUGCUUCAAUGUUCGGGCCAUCGAUGGCUUAACACGGCUUGCAAAGAACUCCUCAACUUCCUUAGCCUUUUCAAACGAGGCAAACGGGGAGACUGUGGCACUGACAAAGCGUCCAAUCAGAAACCCAGAGUCGAAGAUUUUUGAGAUUUCUUCCCACUUUGUCUUCAGCCAUGUCCAAGCUGUUUC